GAUGAAGAACGUAGUGAAAUGCGAUACCUGGUGUGAAUUGCAGAAUCCCGCGAACCAUCGAGUCUUUGAACGCAAGUUGCGCCCGAGGCCACCCGGCCGAGGGCACGCCUGCCUGGGCGUCACGCCAAAACACGCUCCCACCCCCCCUCACCGGGGGAGCGGGACGCGGCGUCUGGCCCCCCGUGCCGCGAGGCGCGGUGGGCCGAAGAUCGGGCUGCCGGCGUACCGUGCCGGGCACAGCGCGUGGUGGAUCUCUACUCGGCGCAGUGCACCCGGCGCGUAGCCGGCGCAGCGGCCCCUAAGGACCCAACGAACGGAGCGCGAGCCGCUCCGACCGCGACCCCAGGUCAGGCGGGACUACCCGCUGAGUUUAAGCAUAUCAAUAAGCGGAGGA
RNAcentral lists this unclassified non-coding RNA (394 nucleotides) under soil metagenome. Its description in RNAcentral is "partial contains 5.8S ribosomal RNA, internal transcribed spacer 2, and large subunit ribosomal RNA". The stretch from base 1 to 122 matches the Rfam family "5.8S ribosomal RNA", at positions 35 to 154 of the family's 154-position model. The record is from RNAcentral.